AUACGUAGGUGGCGAGCGUUAUCCGGAAUUAUUGGGCGUAAAGAGCGCGCAGGUGGUUGAUUAAGUCUGAAGUGAAAGCCCGCAGCUCAACUGCGGGACUGCUUUGGAAACUGCCAGGCUAGAGUGCAGGAGAGGUAAGUGGAAUUCCUAGUGUAGCGGUGAAAUGCGUAGAUAUUAGGAGGAACACCAGUGGCGAAGGCGGCUUACUGGACUGUAACUGACGUUGAGGCUCGAAAGCGU
This 240-nucleotide ribosomal RNA is filed under the name uncultured bacterium. Its description in RNAcentral is "partial 16S ribosomal RNA". It matches the Rfam family "Bacterial small subunit ribosomal RNA", at positions 523 to 762 of the family's 1533-position model. The record is from RNAcentral.